AUAAAAUUGACUUUUCAAAAUACCAACAGCCAGCUUUCACGUCGUCUCGAAGUUCCAGCAUAUUUUCGGCAUUUUCUCUGUAAUUAACGUGAUUUCAAGUUUGCAUUUGCUUCGUGAUACAUCCGGGCAUGUAUACAAGUCAAUAUUGACGUGGGGAGAGCCGCAUAUUUCGUCAAGUGCAAUAAUUUCGUGUCCGGUCAGUGAUCAAGUGCACCUGACUGUUCUGGUUGGGACGCGAAUUCACCGUAAAUUGCGUCUGCUGGACGGCCCUUAUCAGACUUCGCUUAAUUCCCGAAAACUGUCCCGUCCUGGCAAGUGGCAGAAAUAGGUCAAAGAACACUCAACGGCCGGCAUUGGUUCUGAUAAAAUUUCAAACAGCUGUCAAAGUCACCUGUGCGCUCCCCGCCACUCUGCGCGUCAGUCCAUCACCUUCAGGAAUCUACUCGAAAACCACACGGCCGACAACUUAACAGCGCUCAAGUGCGCUCCGCAACCGUCAUUAGAACGAGACAGCUGUCUAAUAUCUCAUUUUUCAAAGGCCUGCAUUAAAAUGGCGACUUUUCACCAUCAAUAAGUCGAGUGAGUGGUUCUGAGGUGAUGUUAGUCGUGAGUUUUUCCACAAAUAAUCCUAGUUUUAAGUCGCCGAAUUACACGAAAACAUCGUAAAACGUGAGACGGGAGUCGGGCGCGUCUUUUGACAUAAGCUUGGUGUCGCGCAGUGAUGUAAUUCCAGAGGAAAUCGAAUGAAAAGUUUGCACUGCCAAGUUGCAGAAGUGAAGAAGAAAAUUUGUGAAAUUCUGAAAAUUUGUUAAGAAACGUUGCAUCACCACCCGUUCUGUGGUUCGCGGACGUGGUUAUCAAUUCCCCAUUGAAUUUGCCCCGGGGACUGUCCGACCGAGUGAGUUUUCAGCCACCCUUCAGGUGCCCCAGGAAACUUCUUGCCUAAGCGACUUUUUCCACUGCUCUUUCUUGUGUGUGCAUUGAAAGCGGGUUGUUGUUAGUGUUUAUAGGCCUGGUCGGUCCGAGUCGGCCACAGGGAGGCGAACGAUCCACGGCAAAACAAGAAGAAAGCAAUUCAAGUCUCUGACACGAGUUCCAACUCUGCGUUGUGUGCGGCCAUUUCUCGAGAGUUGUGGCUGGCGACAAAUUCAUCGCAUCUGGGGUCGCACACGCACGUUGGAUUUUCACGAAAUGUCCGCUGCCGUGGCCGAGUCGAUUUGAAGACGCCUGACGCGCGACAUUUUGACGGGAAUUUAUGCAGCGCCGCGGCCACCCCGGAAAUUGAUUCGUAAUGGGAAAACGCAGCGCUUACGACAGCACGCCCGCGGCCCAGCAGCAAACAGGCGGCCCCAAGACAAAACGGGCCAGGCUCAAUGGACAGCGACGCCACCCGCUCCGGCGAAAUGUAAGCUACAACAGCGAAACGUCCGAGGAUGAGUCGUCCGCGGCUAGCUCCUCGUCACACUCAUCCGCUGCCUCUACAAAUGAUAAAUGCAAACAGUCGCCAAAACCAGACUUCCAGCUGACGCGUGAUCUGGUCGCCGGAACCAUCCUCACGGACUUGACGCAGAAGGACUGGCGCAUUGGAAGUCCAAUAGGCAAGGGCAGCUUCGGAGAGAUCUUCCUCGCGUCCGACAACACAGCCGUCCCGGUGACAAGGGACAACGCCAAGUACGUGGUGAAGAUCGAGCCACACUCCAAUGGGCCGCUCUUCGUUGAGAUCCAUUGCCUCCUCAACACCGCCAAGAACACAGUUGACGAUCCUCUCCCUCCUGGAAUGCCCGAAUACAUUGCAUCCGGUUCACAUUAUUUCAAAAAUAUCCGCUAUCGUUUCCUAGUUUUGCGUCGCUUUGACUGUGACCUACAUUCAAUAAUAAAACGUCAUCGUGUUGACGAAAAAUCGGUCCUAGUUUUAGCCGUACAAAUUUUGGAUAUUUUAGAACAUCUCCAUGACAAAGGUUACUGCCAUUCCGAUAUUAAAGCUGAAAAUCUCAUGAUCAGCAAAUGUACGUAUCACAAGAAAAAAUCACGGCCAAUAGAUCUAUCGUCUGACACGUCGAGUGACACCGAGCUCCAUACGAAGUCCGACGACGAUUCGAACGAUGAAGAUUUAGACGAUGAUGACGAUAAUGAAUCGGAAUACCGGACGCCAACAUCAUGGAAAAGGAAGAAUUUUGUGCCGUUUAGCGGAUCGAAUCCGGUGCGGUCUUGUCGAUUAAACAGGCGUAACGUCUCAACCUAUCAAGAGUUGGUCAAUUCACAUUACUUACGUCCCACAAAAAAGAUAAACUACACGGAAUUUGACGAGAAUUCCAAAAGCAGCGAAGACUGCACAAUUGAUGAGAUUAUCAGCCGCCAAAGGAACACCACUCGGCGCGUCGCUCCCGCAGAAGAAAAACAGGCUUCUUCACAUCCUGGUAAACUGGUGACGGAGGAUCGAAUAUUUCUCAUCGAUUUCGGUUUAGCAUCAAAAUUUAUCGAUUCAAGCGGCAACCACCGGCCUUUCUGUAUGGAUCAACGCCGAGCCCACGAUGGAACUCUAGAAUUCACAUCGCGGGACGCCCAUUUGGGAGCUCAUUCGCGUCGCAGCGAUCUUGAAUGCUUAGGCUACAAUCUGAUAUAUUGGUCACAAGGAUAUUUGCCGUGGAAAGAGACUGCCGCUCAACAGCAACACGAAAAAGUCCAUUGGAUGAAAGAGUAUCUAAUGACUGAUGUCCGAGAGAUGCUCAAGCAGGUUUACGGUAAGUCAGUUCCUAAGUAUUUGGGGGAAUAUAUGCACUAUGUUGGCUCGCUGGCUUAUCAUGAACGCCCCAAUUAUGAUAAGUAUCGAAGGAUUUUCCAGCGAGAAUACUCCAAACUAGGCGCUAAAUGUGACGAGAUGGUCCUGAAUGUGGCAGAGCUUAAACGCAAGCUGAAAGAGGUGAAGGAUGAAGUCGAUAACAAUAACGAAAUCGAACUUAAAAAUUUGAAAAGUAUUAUGAAGAAUUUAGGAAUUCUACUACCAUUCCGCGAGAGUAGUACGAAUCGGGUGUCGCCGAAAAACCUACGAUCAAUGUCCGAAAAGCAAUCAAAGAGUAAACGCAAAAAGUUCUGUUGGGCCGAGAUUCUUAGCCAAGAUCCUGAUCAAAUAGCGCGAGAGCGGGCGGAGAAGGAAUUCGAACGCGAGCCAUCAACUGAAACUCCGGUUAUCCGUUACUCCGGGAAACCGACGUAUGCUAUCCUAGAAAUUGAAAAUCGUAUUAAGUUUAAAGAUCGGUUAGAAGCUUGUAGUGACCAGGAAGAGGAUGAGAUCUUGAUCAAGGGCUACACAAAGCCCAUGAUGGAGAUCCUUCGGAAACGGCAAAGCGCAUUAUUGGCCGAUAUCGAAGAGAAGAAGCAGAGCGCGAAUCAUAAACCCGUUACAAGAACUAGAGCUAAGGCAGGUUUACGAACUGUGAUCACUCCGACUAAGCGCGGAUUAGACUAUAGUAAUGAGUUAGGUCAAAGACGUGCCGCGGCAAAGCAACGUGUACAUAAGAAUAGUGGCGAUUUCACCAGUACGGACGAGUCAUCAUGCAGCAGUUUAAACUCGGUCGCGAGCAGUACAAAUUCAACGGCUCAUAUAACGUCUAAUAAUGGCGCGAAAAAAUCGCAAUAUCCCGAAACGGACUAGAUAUCGUCAUCAAAAUCAUUCGGGAUCCAGUAAAGCAGCGGCGAAUUUAAGUAAUGUUGUCGGAAGUAAAAAACGUAAGAAGAGUAUACCCAGGAAACGUAACGGUAGAGCGUAACAAAAGAAAAGCAAACAAAACGUUUGUUAUGAGAUUGUUGUCGACUCAAUGAUUUGUUAUCAAGAAAGAUCAACAAGAUAGAACUGCAAGCGCAUUAAUAUACUUUUAUAAAUAUGUAUGAUCACAAAUGUUGUAUACACAAGAGAGAAUGAUGAAUUCGGUAGUGGCGAAGCGAACAUAAGGAGAAUCAAUAAGUUAUUACAAGAAAUAAUUGUAACAUACACAAAAACUACUGUUAAAUACAUAAAUCAAUGUCAUGUCAGUUAAAGCUAAGAAUAACAGAAAAUCUAAAUGAGCAUGUUCACAUAUUUAGUAUUACGAAUAUUAUAUUUCAUCCAACUGUAUAUUUCCCAAUAAAUCUGUAUCGAAUAUUGCCUAACUCUAUUGUAUUUAUGCAGUUUCAAUCGAACAUAAAAGAAUCCAAGUAGAAAAUUAUAAACUCUCAGAUUUGUAAUGAUAUACGCAGAGUACGUCGCAUGAAAAUAUAUUGAACUAACAAAAAUCCAAAAGAACUGUUGUUACUCUUAAAUGUUGCAGUUAGCUGGAAAGAUACAUUAUUCACAUUGCAAAAUUAUUAAGUAAGAACUGAAUCCGAACAAAAAUGAAUUACAAACAGAAGAAUUAUUAAAAUACUAUUAAAAAAUAAGAGGAAAGUAAUAAAGAAGAAUAAACUAAUCAUUGCCGCCUAUAUAUGUGUUGUACAUGUACAAGUUUUUAUUGUUCCCUCGAUUUUAUCCAACAAAAUUUGGUAUCCAAAUUUUCCAUUUACUCUCGUAUUUACUAUAGAAUAAGUUUCUUUAUAUCAUUUAUUUUUAGUUGUGUUUCUUUCUGUUUUUAGUGUACAUUUCUACAUUGUAGAGCCUAGGAAAAGAGAAUCAAAUAAAAAUGGAAAACUACUAUAUAUAUAUACCCAUAUUUUCACUUGUUUUGCUUUAUAGAUUGGCUUCUUCAAUAUAGGCUUAGGUAGUUGAUAUAACAAAUUCAGACAAAUUAUUUGAUAUUAGAAAUCAGCCACGUGUUUUCUAUAUUAUAUUAUCCACCAUAUUAUCAUUACGGUUAUUAUGAAAUUCUAAGUGAUUUUUUUCUAAUUUAGUUUCUUAAAUAUUAUUUAAAGAGAAAAAUAACAAAAGGGUUAAUGAUCGUAUCUAGUAGAGGAUAAUGAAUAAAAUUGCGGAUAAUAAACAUGAAAAAUCAUAAAAAUACAUAAUAAAUAUAAAUAAAUGAAAAGCAAACUUCAUAA
RNAcentral lists this unclassified non-coding RNA (5007 nucleotides) under Hermetia illucens (black soldier fly). RNAcentral's name for it is "uncharacterized LOC119655933, transcript variant X4". Lineage: Eukaryota; Metazoa; Arthropoda; Insecta; Diptera; Stratiomyidae. The record is from RNAcentral.